GGUCGCGGUGUGUCAAUCGGACACGACGGAGAUGAUGAACGCACCGGUUUUUCCGAUUUCUCGGUGCGGGCAACGAAACGCCAGGCGAGCAUCUAACCCGUCCGCCGU
Molecule: small RNA, 108 nt
Organism: Rhizobium gallicum bv. gallicum
Lineage: Bacteria; Pseudomonadati; Pseudomonadota; Alphaproteobacteria; Hyphomicrobiales; Rhizobiaceae
Rfam family: Rhizobiales sRNA Atu_At1
Source: Rfam